GUCUCGGAUAGCUUAAGAGAAGAGCAGUUGGCGCAAUACUAAAAGAUCCAGGUUCGAGUCCUGGUCUGGGCC
This 72-nucleotide transfer RNA is filed under the name Cotesia glomerata. RNAcentral describes it as "tRNA-Leu". It matches the Rfam family "tRNA". From Rfam's summary of the family: Transfer RNA (tRNA) molecules are approximately 80 nucleotides in length. Their secondary structure includes four short double-helical elements and three loops (D, anti-codon, and T loops). The record is from RNAcentral. Lineage: Eukaryota; Metazoa; Arthropoda; Insecta; Hymenoptera; Braconidae.